Zonotrichia albicollis (white-throated sparrow) is the source of this 1835-nucleotide non-coding RNA. The record is from RefSeq and is a predicted model, not a curated record. Lineage: Eukaryota; Metazoa; Chordata; Aves; Passeriformes; Passerellidae.
AUACUACAGGGUCAUUGCUAGGAUACAACAGUACCAGGAUAUUAUCACAGAGCUCCCGAGGUGCUCCAGGACAGGGGACAGUUUGCAGUGGGAUAUUCUCAGGACAGGGGUCAGUUUGCAGUGGGAUAUUCCAGGACAGGGGUCAGUGGGAUGCUCUCAGGACAGGGGUCAGUUUGCAGUGGGAUAUUCUCAGGACAGGGGUCAGUUUGCAGUAGGACACUCCAGGACAGGGGUCAGUUUGCAGUAAGAUGCUCCAGGCCAGGGGUCAGUUUGCAGUGGGAUGCUCUCAGGACAGGUCAGUUUGCAGUAGGAUAUUCCAGGACAGGGAUCAGUAGGAUAUUGUCAGGCCAGGGGUCGGUGUGGAGUAGGAUGCUCCAGGACAGGGGUCAGUUUGGAGUAGGAUAUUCCAGGACAGGGGUCAGUAGGAUAUUCUCAGGAUGGGUCAGUUUGCAGUAAGAUGCUCCAGGCCAGGGGUCAGUUUGCAGUGGGAUAUUCUCAGGACAGGGGUCAGUUUGCAGUAGGACACUCUCAGGACAGGAGUCAGUUUGCAGUAAGAUGCUCCAGGCCAGGGGUCAGUUUGCAGUGGGAUGCUCUCAGGACAGGUCAGUUUGGAGUAGGAUAUUCCAGGACAGGGGUCAGUUUGCAGUAGGACACUCUCAGGAUGGGUCAGUUUGCAGUAAGAUGCUCCAGGACAGUUUGCAGUAGGAUAUUCUCAGGAUGGGUCAGUUUGGGGUAGGACACUCUCAGGACAGGGGUCAGUUUGCAGUGGGAUGCUCCAGGACAGGGUCAGUUUGCAGUAGGAUGCUCCAGGACAGUUUGCAGUAGGAUAUUCUCAGGCUAGGGGUCAGUUUCCAGUAGGAUAUUCCAGGACAGGGGUCAGUAGGAUAUUCUCAGGCCAGGGGUCAGUUUGGAGUGGGAUGCUCCAGGACAGGGGUCAGUUUGGAGUAGGGUAUUCCAGGACAGUUUGCAGUAGGAUAUUCUCAGGAUGGGUCAGUUUGCAGUAGGAUAUUCUCAGGACAGGGGUCAGUUUGGAGUAGGAUGCUCUCAGGACAGAGGUCAGUUUGCAGUAGGAUACUCUCAGGACAGGGGUCAGUUUGGAGUAGGAUACUCUCAGGAGUAAAGUGCACUUAUCUGUAGGAUGCUUCCAAGAUGCUACACAAGGGCACUAGCAAAGGUCAUGGUAAGAUAAUUCUGGGAUGCCAUCAGGGCAACACUCACAUUUUUGGGGUACUGGCAGCACAUUGCUGAUGCUUUCAGGCCACUUGCUUAGCAGUGAUAUAAUGUGAGAUUAAAACCUUUUCUGCCUCAGAGAUGGGGUAAUAACUGAGAGGUGGCUAAAGCUGAUAGGCCAAGAAAAGCUUAUAGUGUAUUGUGAUUAGGAAAUUAUUGUAAUUAGUUGGUUUCUGAUUGUGAUGGUGUGAAUUAUAACAUCUGUAUUGUCUCGCCCUUCACAUGAGACUGAAAAUAGAAUAAAAGUUUUUAAAACACCUCUCAGUUACCCAUCUCUGGGUCAGAAAAGGGCAUAAUCUGACAAUAUGGUGUGAGGAUACAGCUAGGAUACUCCCACUCCAGGGAAAUGGACAGUGGUGUGACAUUUCUUACCUACUGUCAGGGCAGCACUGAGCUGCUUGGACCACUAUGAACACUUUGUUGCAACUAUGAAAUUACCACUAGAGUAGUGCCACAAUAUCGGAAUAUUUCUUCUGAAGGUAGCACAUCCUGUUGGGAUACUACCAGGAUACUACAGAGAUACUGUUGGUUGUAUAACAGCCCUGGCAGCAGCUAAGAGAAUGGGGAGCUGGGUGUUGUAACCUAAGGGAACAGGCAGCUGGGUG